This 310-nucleotide unclassified non-coding RNA is filed under the name Hevea brasiliensis (rubber tree). Lineage: Eukaryota; Viridiplantae; Streptophyta; Magnoliopsida; Malpighiales; Euphorbiaceae. The record is from RNAcentral.
AAGCCUGCAUUUUAUGCCUUCUUUAAAAAUAUGGUUUGAAGUUUCUCAAUUUUUAUUUGUGUUGGAUGUGUUGACUAUAUUGGAACAAGGUGUGCUUUAUUAUUAUUGUUUUUGCUACAUGAUGCAUUGAGACCUUUAACUUCUUAAGCACAUCUGGCAUUAAAAUGAAGUAGCUAAGCUUGUUGCUAGGGGCACCAUUUGAAACAUCUGCUAGAAAUUCUUUUAUGGUUUCUAGCAGGUCUCUUAGACUGGCUUUUCUAACUUUAUGAUGUGACCCGUCCACUUGACAGAUAAAAAAUUUGUGAACUGG